RNAcentral lists this ribosomal RNA (386 nucleotides) under uncultured bacterium. Its description in RNAcentral is "bacterial SSU rRNA". It matches the Rfam family "Bacterial small subunit ribosomal RNA", at positions 28 to 414 of the family's 1533-position model. The record is from RNAcentral.
GACGAACGCUGGCGGCGUGCUUAACACAUGCAAGUCGAGCGGUAAGGCCCUUUCGGGGGUACACGAGCGGCGAACGGGUGAGUAGCACGUGGGUGACCUGCCCUCAGCUCUGGGAGUAAGCCUGGGAAACCGGGUCUAAUACUGGAUAUGACUCCAUGACGCAUGUUGUGGGGUGGAAAGCCUUGUGCGGCUGAGGAUGGGCCCGCGGCCUAUCAGCUUGUUGGUGGGGUGAUGGCCUACCAAGGCGACGACGGGUAGCCGGCCUGAGAGGGCGACCGGCCACACUGGGACUGAGACACGGCCCAGACUCCUACGGGAGGCAGCAGUGGGGAAUCUUGCGCAAUGGGCGAAAGCCUGACGCAGCGACGCCGCGUGAGGGAUGACGG